Molecule: ribosomal RNA, 465 nt
Filed under: Vreelandella stevensii
Lineage: Bacteria; Pseudomonadati; Pseudomonadota; Gammaproteobacteria; Oceanospirillales; Halomonadaceae
Description: partial 16S ribosomal RNA
Rfam family: Bacterial small subunit ribosomal RNA
Source: RNAcentral
CCUACGGGGGGCAGCAGUGGGGAAUAUUGGACAAUGGGGGCAACCCUGAUCCAGCCAUGCCGCGUGUGUGAAGAAGGCCCUCGGGUUGUAAAGCACUUUCAGUGAGGAAGAACGCCUGGUGGUUAAUACCCAUCAGGAAAGACAUCACUCACAGAAGAAGCACCGGCUAACUCCGUGUCAGCAGCCGCGGUAAUACGGAGGGUGCGAGCGUUAAUCGGAAUUACUGGGCGUAAAGCGCGCGUAGGUGGCUUGAUAAGCCGGUUGUGAAAGCCCCGGGCUCAACCUGGGAACGGCAUCCGGAACUGUCAAGCUAGAGUGCAGGAGAGGAAGGUAGAAUUCCCGGUGUAGCGGUGAAAUGCGUAGAGAUCGGGAGGAAUACCAGUGGCGAAGGCGGCCUUCUGGACUGACACUGACACUGAGGUGCGAAAGCGUGGGUAGCAAACAGGAUUAGAUACCCUUGUAGUC